CAGUCUUGAUCUUAAAAUUCGUUUAUAUCGAUUCAUUUAACUGAAGCAACUAAUUUGAAAUGCAACUCGAUACCGCAUAUUUCGAUAGAGCAUAAAUAUUGAUAAGGAAUAACCUAAUAACCUAUGCAUUUAAGAAUAUAAAUACCCGUUGUAUUUCGAUAAUUGGCAUUGAAUCUUCUGCGAGGACAUUUGGGCUAUCUCGUCUGUUUUUAAGAUCAACGGAUACAGAAUAACAAUCGAAACCGAAUAAAAAACACAUCGAUUCUCUGCUGGUAUCAAGGACUGGAUAACAAGAUGGCGAUCGAUGAGCGAAGCAUCGAGCAAAGGCGUUUCGACCUUCAUUCGAUAAUGGCGUCGGCACGAGUAUGCGACAAUCGACAUAUUUUUAUCUGUGGUUUAUAUGUCAGUCAGUUAAAACUUAUUUUUAAUAUAUUGAAAAAUUGCUGUUUUUUAUAUAAAAAUGUGAAAUGAGAAAUUAAGGUAUAUGAUAUAAUCGUAUUUAAUAUGGACUGGAUAAAGGACGUAAACAUAAUUUGUUAUUCUUCGUUUAUAUACGUAGUAAAGUAGUGCCAUCUGUA
Nymphalis io (European peacock) is the source of this 578-nucleotide long non-coding RNA. RefSeq lists it as uncharacterized. The transcript has 2 exons. The record is from RefSeq and is a predicted model, not a curated record. NCBI's taxonomy places the organism in Eukaryota, Metazoa, Arthropoda, Insecta, Lepidoptera, Nymphalidae.